AAGACUGAAUAUCUGACGAUGGAAAGGACAGGACAGAAAUGCUGUCAUAUCUAUAUCCUAACAACUUGCAAAGCCAUUUGAGAAGUUCCAGAUGGACUCCAGUCUCUCAGUAGCCCACAGGAUUGAAGUUUCUUAGUUGGCUUAAAUUAUGAAUUAGGGCCUUGAACUAACGGCAGGUGUUCGAAGUCCAGUUGCACAACCCUCCACAUGGGCCCUGACUUCAUUUCAUCAGUUUGGAAGAAUCUCCAGAAUCCAGGAAACUUUUACAAGUUGGCUACUCAUAAAUGUUUUGGAUGUUCUCCCCAACAGAGGCCUGCCCAAGAUCAUUAUCUAAAAAAACAUCCAUCACAGCCUCAGAAUGGAAUUGGAACUCCUGGUAACUACAAGGCCUGAAGAGGAAAAAUGGAAGAAAGAUGAAGGAACUGUAGAAGGGACCCCCAAAACGAGGAAGAAUGAAAUUAAGCCAGCCUCCCACCAACUCUGCAGCACUAAUACCCUUCUUUCUAGAAGUAGGAUAUGUCUUCUCUAUUCUGCUGCCCACCACUCAAAAGCCUGGAACUGGAAGAAACAAAUGGCUUUAUGAACUGCAGUGGACACCAAAUGUGUCAUCAGAUCCACUAAUGUUGAUCCUUAUGUCCUACCUGGGAAGUUCUGGGAACCCUGUUUCUCUCUAUGACCCUCAGCUCUUGUCAUGACACAGAAAAUAAAGCAUACAGUGGUAUGACAUA
Molecule: long non-coding RNA, 728 nt
Organism: Grammomys surdaster
Lineage: Eukaryota; Metazoa; Chordata; Mammalia; Rodentia; Muridae
Exons: 7
Source: RefSeq, a predicted model, not a curated record